GACGAACGCUGGCGGCGUGCUUAACACAUGCAAGUCGAACGGAAAGGCCCUGCUUUUGUGGGGUGCUCGAGUGGCGAACGGGUGAGUAACACGUGAGUAACCUGCCCUUGACUUUGGGAUAACUUCAGGAAACUGGGGCUAAUACCGGAUAGGAGCUCCUGCUGCAUGGUGGGGGUUGGAAAGUUUCGGCGGUUGGGGAUGGACUCGCGGCUUAUCAGCUUGUUGGUGGGGUAGUGGCUUACCAAGGCUUUGACGGGUAGCCGGCCUGAGAGGGUGACCGGGCACAUGGGGACUGAGAUACGGCCCAGACUGCGACGGGAGGCAGCAGUGGGGAAGAUUGCACAAUGGGCGGAAGCCGGAUGCAGCAACGCCGCGGGCGGGAUGACGGCCGUCGGGUGGGAAACCGCUUUCGCCUGUGACGAAGCGUGAGUGACGGUAAUGGGUAAAGAAGCACCGGCUAACUACGUG
This 468-nucleotide ribosomal RNA is filed under the name uncultured bacterium. Its description in RNAcentral is "partial 16S ribosomal RNA". It matches the Rfam family "Bacterial small subunit ribosomal RNA", at positions 28 to 507 of the family's 1533-position model. The record is from RNAcentral.